This 345-nucleotide unclassified non-coding RNA is filed under the name soil metagenome. RNAcentral describes it as "partial contains 5.8S ribosomal RNA, internal transcribed spacer 2, and large subunit ribosomal RNA". The stretch from base 1 to 120 matches the Rfam family "5.8S ribosomal RNA", at positions 35 to 154 of the family's 154-position model. The record is from RNAcentral.
GAUGAAGAACGCAGCGAAAUGCGAUAAGUAAUGUGAAUUGCAGAAUUCAGUGAAUCAUCGAGUCUUUGAACGCACAUUGCGCCCCCUGGUAUUCCGGGGGGCAUGCCUGUCCGAGCGUCAUUGCUGCCCUCAAGCACGGCUUGUGUGUUGGGCCUCCGUCCUCCUCCCGGGGGACGGGCCCGAAAGGCAGCGGCGGCACCGCGUCCGGUCCUCGAGCGUAUGGGGCUUCGUCACCCGCUCUUGUAGGCCCGGUCGGCGCUUGCCGACACAUCAAUCUUUUUUCCAGGUUGACCUCGGAUCAGGUAGGGAUACCCGCUGAACUUAAGCAUAUCAAUAAGCGGAGGA